UUUUUUUUUUUUUUUUAGCCUAACCAGUCAAAGAAGGGACCACUCUCCUUCCCAGCUUUGUUUACUUCAUGGACGUGGACUACAAUGGAAAAAAAAAAGGAGCUUCGACAAACUGAACUGUGAAGGAUCCACAAGUCAUGUUUUGAGCGGGAAGUGAUGGACUGGCUAAUGAUUCCAAAAACUCUGGGACAGGAACAGUAUGCAAACAAACCAGACCACAACAGUGCACUUCCAGCCACGGAGCUGCGGACGUUUCAUUUCACUGGUGGAGAAUGUCAGUGUUUGGGCUGACUGGAUAGGACAACCAGGUUUAUGACAGUUUGAUAUUUCAUAUUUGAUCCCAACAGCCCCAGUAAAGGCCUGCUCUUCCUUAAUAUUUAUUAUUAGGGCUGGGUACAUUAUUAUUAGGGCUGGGUAUCGCCACAGAUUUCCUAAAUCGAUUCCGAUUCACACGGUCCCGUUUCGAAUUGAUUAGAUCCUACAGCGAGUCGAUUAGGGAUGUUUCAGUUACAAUACAAGUUUUGCUUGGCUAUGAAAGAGAUUCUCAGAGAACAAAUGCUGCAAUUUGUACAAGGAACCCUCUAACCUGCUGCAGUAUUAAAAAUAUGUAAUGCUGUCGUUAACAAUUGACCCCACAGCAGUUACAUAGAGACAGAAGUGCCGUUUUAAUGCAGAGGGGGUGAUGCAGAGACAGAGACCUAAAGCCACAUCUGGGAAAACGGCCAUGCCAGUUUUUCCCUCGCCAAAAUGAAGCCAAACUUUGGAGUGUUAUUCAGCAUGAGAAAUCUUUUUUUUUUUUUUUUUUUUUAUCAUCUAGUUUAAGCCUCUUAAAAGAUCGAUCUCAGGAUUUUAUGAAUCGAUAUCGGCUCAUUCAAAUGAAGCUCAAUUUGAAUCGGAAAAUCAAUGUAUUUUUUUUUAAAAACCCAGCCCUAUUGUAUAACGUACUUGUCUGUGGCACAGGUAACGGACUGGACUGAACCAGUAUCUUAAGGUCAAAGCAUCAUUUAAUGAUGACGUUAUGUUUGUCUUCGCUCCGCUGCCCUGUACAACCUUGUGCCUUAACGCCGAUUCACAUGAAGUGCGAUUGCAUUGUGAAACAAAAAUGAUGUUGUGGGUUACAGAGGCACCCGGUUACAGGCCGCAACCACGUUGGUGUCGUGCAGGUUUCUUUUAAAUCGACCAAAGGAAAAUUUUGCUUUUCAAUGAUGUCACAAAUUUGUUAACGACUUCCCCCGGCUGCGAUAAUGUCAAGUGAGAAUGUGAUCAUUCGGUGGCUCUCCUCUACUCAAAAGCUCAAGUGCAGUCACUAUGCUGAAGCUGAAAUAUACAAAACUUAAAUCGGCAUCAAGGAUUUUCUGAAUGUCACAUGUACGCUCGUGUUUAGAAGGUUAACGAGGAUAUUUCACACAUCUGGUGCCACACUCCAGAGACACUACAAAUGUGAAUUCGGAGGGUUUUCACGUUGUUUUGAAGUUGUUUUUUACAGAAUUCUCCUCAGAAGUAAGCCGACCCGUGUCAACUCCAUACAAUACUGUGCUAUUGUAACCAAACAAUUCAGAUUUGCUUUUUAUGUGGGCAUUAGUUCCUGUUCAAUCCAAAGAGCAGCUGUUGGAUAAACUGCGUUUAUCCUUUUAUCAUCACUGCAAAGCUCCGUAUGAACAUAAUUUCUAAAUUAAGGUAUGACCAAGAAACAAUCAUGAUCGUUUUAGUGGGAUUUAAAGGUGUUUGAUGCUUCUUGCGCUCGGCGUGGUCGGGGCGCUGCGGACGGUGUGCGUGGUCACUGCGAACCGUCUGGUCUUUCAUACCGACUCAAAGAACGGACUUCGUCUCUCCUGUAGCCAAUCAUUGCAACGCGGUCCGUGCAAACGCGUCCGCAUCGUUACGGAAAUGUUGGAGAUGCGCGGCUCGGCGAUCAGACCCUCCGCGCACAGUCGCCCAGGCCGCGUUUGCGUCAUGCCGCCGUCGUCACCGCGCUGAUCGCAAGAAACGUGAAACUGCUGAAAAGUCUGUUUUGAGAACUUGGUACUGAAUGUUUUUUUUUACAUUGAGGUCGAGUGUGGUAUUUUAGGCGCGGAAUACUAAUUUCACUACAGUUCAAGAUAUCAAGUCAAUGGGUAACUUCCAAUCAGCUGUCAUUCUGUACUCUAAAUGGGCCGACACCUGAGCAGUUUUGAGACAUCUGUGGCUGAAUCUUUUCUCGAGUAUCUGAUUUGGAGAUUCUCACAGGAAAUUUGAAGAUUUCCCAUCUGGAAAUAAUCCCCAAAAGCAACCACGGGAUGCCCAUCCUAACUGGACUAUCCUUUUCUUCCUUCCUCUCUUGACCAAAGUGUUUUAAGAACUCUGCAGUGGCACGUUCAGUCGGUCUUCUAUCUGUGUUGUGAGAAAAUCAUGGCUUCUUUGUGCUGUAUUUCAUGCAUCCUUAUUGUUAAGCAAAACAGAAUUUAGCUACAUUUACACUACUACAGUACCUUUUGGUUUUUAAGCGGCAUUUUGAGCCAAAAACGAUCUCCGUGCACGCAAGAGUUUUAGCUCCAGUAGGAGAACUAAUCUCCGUUUAAACUAACACGCCCAGAACGCAUAUCUCAUGACCAUUCAUGAUUACUGGGCACAAACAGGAAGCAGAUUGUAUACUCCGCCCGGUCCGGACUGCGGAGAUAAGACGAGAGUUUUCUAUUUCUUGAUCUUGUUUGGAUCGGCUACGAGGUAGAACUGUUACUGAAAGUAACUCGUGACUACAAGGCGACAGAAAACACCAACUGGGAAUCUGUCUGACGUUACUCUGCGGUUGAAAAUCAUGGCUGAAAAUACAGAAAAUACUUUGGAGAAAGAACAACAAUGGCGGAAAGUAAGAGCAGGGAUUUAUUAUCUUGGAGCGACGACGACGAGGUGGAACUGUUACUGAAAGGUCUGUAAGCUACCUAGCCGAUAAGACUGACUGCCGUGCGUCUUUCGUUUCCAAAUGUCUCCGUUUGUGCCCGUCUAGACUACAAAGCAACCCCGGAGUUUUCAAACCAAAACUGGGGCAGCGGUGUUUCCAAAUGUCUCCGUUUUAAGAGCCCAGACACUCCGGAGUAGUGUGGACGCGAGGCGUAAACACAGCAAAAGACAUUUGUUUUUGAAACCAAAAUGUUGCAGUGUAAAUGUAGGCUGAUCCACAGGUGAGAUGUUACUUGAAGCAACUACAAUUUCCAGGAAAAUAGAACAAAACGCAAAAGUUUAACUGCACAGAAUAAUUGAAACGCAGAGAUCAAAGCAAAAGAAGAGGGGUUAAAGCCUACAGCGGUGAGCCUAACGGGGGGUGGUUGUGUGUUCCAGACCCUAAAAUCUGUACUAGCCAUCACUCCUCAACACAGACCAGGGGAAUGGCCAAAAACCUCCUGUUGGUUUCGUAGCACUGCGUAGAGUUUUGAAAUCAGUGACUCAGAAGUAGUAGUAGAUUUUUAAGGUCCUACCUCAUUCAGCACUUUGAAACAUCUACAUCGACACUGUCCUUAACUUCGUCUUAGUUUCUGGUACAAGGAGAACUUUGCCUGAGUGGGUCGAUUUCUACCUCUGACCCCGUCUCUCUUUAACCUUUGGACUGACUUCUCUGUGUGGGGUUUCACUUUUCUACAAGUAACAGCUAGCUUUUCCCUUUGUCACUACCCGAUGUGAGUCGAGUGCAGAUGUGAGUUGUGCGUGCGUCACUUUGCGACAAUGACCAGAUUUCACGCAGAUCUGUUGUGCUGUUCUGUAAUGUCAACACAAUAAAAAUGGACCUACAUAACGAAGUUUGUUCACUGCUGGCUACAAGUUAGCAAUCAAACACAACAAAGGCUGUCACUUGACUGGCGUUUUGAGCUAACGUUAGCAAUCAAACAAUCAUAGAUAGCUACAACGUUUGCCAGAUCCGGAUCCCUUGGCGUUAAGCCGUAAACAGUUUAAAUCUGAGCAUGUGCAACUCACAUCUGCACUCGACUCACAUCGGUUAGUGACACCCUUUAUGAUACAACAUCUGCAACCUGUUACCUUCCCUCUUAACGGCUGUAUCACAGAGAUAGUCGAGCACAACAAUGUUGUUUGCAUUCAACAACUACAGCUCCCAUGACGCUAUAUUAGUGCCCGAAGGUGUCUAUGCCCGAAGGCCUUUGUGUGUUUCAAACAAAUAAGUUGCCGUGGUGGAUAAUACAACCAUGUCUUAGGUCAGAAGUGUCAAAAGGCAGUUAGAGCCGACUCAUGGCUGCAUCCCACCGGUUGCCUAAUCAAUCAAUCAAUCAAUCAAUCAAUCAAUCAUGGUGUUAUAUUCGGCCCUUAACACGAACAGUAACCGAAUGAAUUGUGUGAAGAAUAAAAUGACAACUUAAAAGAGUUCAAAUUGUCUGUUUUGUUGGACAAUCUGACAAGCCCUUCAUUUGAAGCAUACUGAGACCUUAAAACCACCUACACGAGAUCCGCGGCAAGUCCGUGAGGUAGGGCGCAGAGCAGAGAGGCAAAGCACGGCGCGGGAAUGUUCUGGAAUUGGUUGUGCCUUGAAAGGUCAGCCGCAACGAGGUCAAAGUUGACAUUUAUUUUACUUUGAGCGCAGCACACAGCGAGAAAUCCAAGAUGCUAGUUGUGCGGCACCGGCCCUCCCCCCGUAGAAAACAAUGGAACGACCGGCGCGAAGCGGUUUCACCUCGGAUCGUGUGUAGGCGGCUUAACGGACGCACACAAACCGUUUCCUCGUGAAAGUAUCUCGUGCUCGCGAGAAACCAAUCUAAGGCUAACACAAUGAUGCUAACGAAGUACUGCUAACGUCACGCGGCUAACGUUAAUAUUUCACAUUCACAGCAUGACGUUAUUUGUUGACGAUAUUAUCGGGAACAUUUCGUUGCGUUUUCAGAAAGAUGAAUACCGCACAAGAAAGGUUUUUCGUGAGCACGCGGAAGAAUCCUGUGCUCACGAGAAAAUUUCUUGUGCUCACGAGGAAAAAAAGCAAUCCCACAUGUCUCUUUAGGGCCUCCCUAAAAAGUGCUUCCUUUUGAAUGUUCAAUUUCCUAUAAAAGAAAAGACACUUAUGCUGAAUGUAAGAGACUCUGUGUACGUACGGAGAUAUCGGGAGCGAGAAGUUGUUGAAUGCUAACCCAUUGCUGUUGUUAUAACAUGAAAGAUGUUCAAUUUCGGGAUGAGACUUUCAUUUUUCACUUUUCACUAAAGGACCACUGUAGCACGUAGAAAAUCAGUCUUUCACUCUUCACGCUGAGAUGUUCAAUCUCUGACCUGCUCUGCAGUGUUCGGUAAACUCGUUUCUUUAGGCAUUAAAGUGAACAUAUAGUUAUUGCUGUGGUAAUAAGCUAACAGCAGAUCUUUACAACUUAAUCAUCACUACUAAAACUGUCCACUGUCACUGUACUUUUCGUAUGAGCCGUUUUCAUUUCUCUCUCUGUUAAGAAUCGUAAUGAUUCCACUUGAAAACACUCACACUAUGCAAAAUGUUUCACUGCCUCACUGCAAACAACGUACAGAGCCACACCUUUCUCAAACCGUUGUGUGUAAUAUCUUGAACAAUUUUUUCUUCUUCUUUCUUUUAGUGCAUAUUUCCAGUGUGUACAGAACAGAAAUGUAUGUUUUAAUAAGAACUGCUUUUUAAUGACGCUGACAGGAGCCAUUAGAUGUUUGAGAAAGCAUCGUGUUUUUUUUUGUUGUUGCUGUAAAUAUAUUUGACAACUUUUCUUGAAAUAAAUGAACAAAACUAUGA
Long non-coding RNA from Perca flavescens (yellow perch), 5716 nucleotides. RefSeq lists it as uncharacterized. The transcript is spliced from 2 exons. Lineage: Eukaryota; Metazoa; Chordata; Actinopteri; Perciformes; Percidae. The record is from RefSeq and is a predicted model, not a curated record.